UCCCUGGAGGACUAGUGGUUAGGCCUCAUCGCUCUCACCACCGCGGCCCAGGUGCGAGUCCUGACCACAGAG
This 72-nucleotide transfer RNA is filed under the name Pangasianodon hypophthalmus (striped catfish). RNAcentral describes it as "tRNA-Glu". Lineage: Eukaryota; Metazoa; Chordata; Actinopteri; Siluriformes; Pangasiidae. The record is from RNAcentral.